CACGGGGGGAGCAAGCGUUGUUCGGAAUCACUGGGCGUAAAGGGCGUGUAGGCGGUCAAGUAAGUGGAAUGUGAAAUGCCCGGGCUCACCCCGGGACCGGCAUCCCAAACUGCUUGGCUUGAGUAUGGGAGAGGAUGAGGGAAUUCCUGGUGUAGCGGUGAAAUGCGUAGAUAUCAGGAGGAACACCGGUGGCGAAGGCGCUCAUCUGGCCCAAUACUGACGCUGAGGCGCGAAAGCUAGGGGAGCAAACGGG
Molecule: ribosomal RNA, 253 nt
Filed under: uncultured bacterium
Lineage: Bacteria
Description: partial 16S ribosomal RNA
Rfam family: Bacterial small subunit ribosomal RNA
Source: RNAcentral